CGCGCUCCUCUCAUCCCAAUGGAGCACUGCACCCACUGGCUUCUUUGAGCAGUGCGAUGCUGACCAAGACAAUUACACUCGCUCUCGAGGAGUGGGCCAACUGCUUUGGGAAUCAAAGAGCAGGACAUCGACAACGACCUUGUCAUCUAAGCACAUCUACCAUUGAUGCUUCCUAGUCACUAUUGGGGCGAGGUGCUAACCCUUAAGUUAAAAUCAAAGUAAAGGUGCUAAUUGCGAUUUAUAACAACCUGCAUAUACCACUAAACAUUCAUUAUGUUUAAAAAAAAUGCACAAUCCACACAGUAACUAUCAGUGACUGAACACUACAGUUUUUAAGUUGGCCAAGCAGCUGUUGGACAGGCUUUAUUAAAGAGAGUUAAAUAUGAUGAACGAUGUAUGUUGCAAAAUACACCUUUUUGUUGUUUUGGAAAUGGAUCCACAAAUGUUUUUUUACACUCAGAAUCAGGGCUUGAAUUGUAAGUUUGGAGUUUUGAUGGUGGAAAUGUACAAAAACAAAAUAAAGUUUCCAAA
This is a long non-coding RNA of Cyprinus carpio (common carp), 531 nucleotides long. RefSeq lists it as uncharacterized. NCBI's taxonomy places the organism in Eukaryota, Metazoa, Chordata, Actinopteri, Cypriniformes, Cyprinidae. The transcript is spliced from 2 exons. The record is from RefSeq and is a predicted model, not a curated record.